GGGUUGUGAGGUUAAGCGACUAAGCGUACACGGUGGAUGCCCUGGCAGUCAGAGGCGAUGAAGGGCGUGCUAAUCUGCGAUAAGCGCCGGUAAGGUGAUAUGAACCGUUAUAACCGGCGAUACCCGAAUGGGGAAACCCAGUGUGACUCGUCACACUAUCAUUAACUGAAUCCAUAGGUUAAUGAGGCGAACCGGGGGAACUGAAACAUCUAAGUACCCCGAGGAAAAGAAAUCAACCGAGAUUCCCCCAGUAGCGGCGAGCGAACGGGGAGGAGCCCAGAGCCUGAAUCAGCAUGUGUGUUAGUGGAAGCGUCUGGAAAGGCGCGCGAUACAGGGUGACAGCCCCGUACACAAAAGCGCAUGUGCUGUGAGCUCGAUGAGUAGGGCGGGACACGUGGUAUCCUGUCUGAAUAUGGGGGGACCAUCCUCCAAGGCUAAAUACUCCUGACUGACCGAUAGUGAACCAGUACCGUGAGGGAAAGGCGAAAAGAACCCCGGCGAGGGGAGUGAAAAAGAACCUGAAACCGUGUACGUACAAGCAGUGGGAGCACCCUUUGGGUGUGACUGCGUACCUUUUGUAUAAUGGGUCAGCGACUUAUAUUC
Molecule: ribosomal RNA, 603 nt
Filed under: Salmonella enterica
Lineage: Bacteria; Pseudomonadati; Pseudomonadota; Gammaproteobacteria; Enterobacterales; Enterobacteriaceae
Description: partial 23S ribosomal RNA
Rfam family: Bacterial large subunit ribosomal RNA
Source: RNAcentral